Molecule: ribosomal RNA, 429 nt
Filed under: Triodon macropterus (threetooth puffer)
Lineage: Eukaryota; Metazoa; Chordata; Actinopteri; Tetraodontiformes; Triodontidae
Description: partial 12S ribosomal RNA
Rfam family: Bacterial small subunit ribosomal RNA
Source: RNAcentral
AAUUGGGAUUAGAUACCCCACUAUGCCUAGCCCUAAACAUUGACAGUAUUUUACACCCACUGUCCGCCCGGGUACUACGAGCAUUAGCUUAAAACCCAAAGGACUUGGCGGUGCUUUAGAUCCACCUAGAGGAGCCUGUUCUAGAACCGAUAACCCCCGUUUAACCUCACCCUUCCUUGUUUUUCCCGCCUAUAUACCACCGUCGUCAGCUUACCCUGUGAAGGCCCAAUAGUAAGCAAAAUUGGCACAGCCCAAAACGUCAGGUCGAGGUGUAGCGCAUGGAGGGGGAAGAAAUGGGCUACAUUCCCUAAUACAGUGAAUACGAACGAUACACUGAAAUACGUAUCUGAAGGAGGAUUUAGCAGUAAGCAGAAAAUAGAGUGUUCCGCUGAAAUUGGCCCUGAAGCGCGCACACACCGCCCGGUCACC